AGGCGCUCACUGGGCCGCGGGCUAGCCAAUGGGGAACGGGCACGGAGCACGCGGCGUGGGGGAGGGCUAGGACCGGCAUGCACCGCGCUUCGCCGCGACAGCGCGAGGCCGCGCCUGCGUAGUGCGGCCCGGGCGCACGUGCUUCCUUGCGGUGACGAGGGCGGAGCCAAUCAGCGCCGCAGUCUCGCGCGCUCGAGGUGAGGCCGCGCGAAGGUGGCGGCCGGCCCCGGCCCGCGGGGAGGGAAGCCGAUCCGCUCCCGCCCUUCCUCCCGGGGCCCGUUUCCAGCGGCGCCUGGCCGUGCGAGCGGGGUGGCGGACAGACGAGGCGGGCAGGUGGCAGACAGCAUAGCUGCUUCCUCACCCCUAGAGAGAAGCCCCUUUCAGUAAGACAUGGCAGGAGCUGCAGGUGCAGAUCGAGUUCCUGCAAGGCCCCAAGAGGCACUGGUCACUUGUGACGCUGGGCUGUCUUCUUCCUUUUUCUCUUGAAGAAGCAGCAGCACCUGGAGUAUAAAAAUAUGUAACAAGUCAAUGGAAUGGAUCAAACCACACAACUGGCUCCCACCACCCGACUUCCAAGAACUGGGCUUCUUCCCUUCACCUAGGGAGACAUGCAGAGGGAUUUCAACAUGCCCAGUGCUAUGGAUAAAGCAGACCUACCAACACCUCCAAGAAGAAAAAGUUUAUCCAAUGCCAGCAGCAUCCUAUUCUAGCCUGCACUGGGAGGGGCAUCAGCAUGGUUCUCAGACAGUAGCUAUUUAUGGCCAGCUGCUAGGAUCACAAGAGCCAGGAGAUCCUAGGAAGACAGGUCAGCUGGGCUGUUUUAGAACCUGAAAUCUACAGUUACUGAAAAAGGUCGGCAACUGUUAUUUACAAUAACUUGCUAGUGCCCAGAGGUCCCUAGUCAGCAUUAGGGGAUUGCUCUCCUGGGCACUAUGCAAAUGCAGGUCUUUGCCUCCAGGGGCUUAAUUGGGGGAAAAAAGGAACAAAGGUCUCCAGGUUGCCAGACUACACACUGGGACUGAUGGAGACAAGUGAGAGACACCCAAGGACCCAGCUAUUCUGUUUCCUUUGUCCAAGACUGAUGCUGCUGGAAUGGUCUGAGCCCAGCCUGAUGAGUGUGCACACCACAGGACAUGAGCAAUUUAAAAACACAAGUUAAGAUGAAGAGGGCUUUGUUAGGGGCCAGCUUCCUUUACUGAACCCUUAAUGGAGAACAAGCAACCAAUGCUUCAGUUUCAAGACCAAUCAUUUAGUCCAUGUCUGCAUACCUGGUUUACUCCCUGAGCAUGGGCACAGGGAGUAAGGGAGGCAGAACACCAUGGAUGUUGGAAACAGAUGUGGUAAGAAAUGGACACAAUUUCACAGCUGAUCCUUGAAAGAUUAAUUUCAGUAGAUCUCGUAAGUAAAACCUCCAUCACCCAGGCUUUCAGCUCCUGCUGGCUCCUCAUGAAAUCACAUGGCAUUUCAAGGCCUGCCUGUAUUUCUCUGUCUUCGGGUUCUACUGUCAGUAACUUCUUGCGUGGAAAAAAAAAAAUCUUGCUUCUUUGCAAGUGCAUCUGCUUCCCUGCUCAUCUCCUCCCUAUGACACCACAACUAUUUCCAUGGCAACCAAGUUGUUAUAGGAUUAUGGUUUUUUAGGGAGUGAAGAAGAGAAUAAGCAGCAUAAGAGCAGAUGGAGGUGUGAGGGUUAUUGUAGGUAAGUGCCCCUAGCCACAAUCCAUCAGGAGCAAAGACAUUCAGAAGCUGCAUGAUAUCUCCAGACUAGAUUUCCAUUGGGUGACUGGUGGCCCAAUGCAGUCAUUUAACAUAUACCUGUGCACUGAAUAGCAAACACACACUAGCUUUGUUUCUCCACCCUCCACCUCUCUUCAGGUCUUAGCUAUGAAAAUGAGGAAUGACCAACACCACUAUGUCCCUCAGGUGAGGGAUGUGACAGGUGCCAAACUGGCAGCCCUGAACAUAUAUAACCUUCAUGUAUGCAGAGCAGAUGCAGCUAUGGCAAUAGAAAGGGUAAGCUACCAUCAUCCCUUUCCAGAGCCCUGGCCAGAUGGAAUGGUCUCGUGGGGUGAAGGGCUGUUCAUUGUCCAGGGUUCAUCCUUGAAGUCUACUCCAGAAAGCAAGGCCCAGUUCUGGAGUUGGGGCUGAAGAAUGUGCAUCACGAUCACUCUUCAAGUAAAUAGAUCAUUCACAUAGGCCCCCUUGAAGAGCUACCAGAUGGUAGUUGCCCAGAGUCCCUAGUAUCCCAGGCUGGUGGAAAGCAUGAUCUACGUAUCUAGCUGUGAAAGCCAGAAGAGAUCUCUGCGAUUAUCUGGUGGAAUCUACAGAGCACAUGCCAAAGAAAUGUACCCAGAUAUCUGUAUGCAUAUCCCCAUCCCCUCUCCUCCCCCUAUUUCACUCUGCAUCCACAGUAAUGACCUUACUUCAUGGCUCAGGCACCAGAAAAUGAAAGGGGAACUGUCAUGGGAAGAAAUGGGAGCAGUCUGCAGCAGGGAUGACUGAAUGUGUGUAUCCCACCCACUAGGGAUAGAAAGUGGGCCCCAAGCAGUAGGUGCAUUUAUUGCCCCAAAUGUGGAGGGCUUAACAUCUCUGGCUAUGCUUUCCAACCAUUUCUUUCCCUGGCAACUCCUUCACUCAGAUAGGGGGUUCCUCAGCUUGUUUGGAAGGGUUCAGGAAAGGAAGUCCUGAGAGUUCAUUAACACAGGCAGAGGCAGAAACAAAAUAAAAGAAUCAGGCAGGCUGACAGUUACAGAACGUGACCCUCGAGCAUGCAGACAAUGUCCAAGAGAACAGCCCCAGACUAUGACAUACAGAAAAGCCAGAGAUGCCAGAGAUACUGGAGGCAAGUGCCAAUGGAGAGGAGGGCUGAGGAGGACCAGUCCGCCAACAAGCGGGAACAUCCUUCACCACACAUGGGGCCUUCAGGGAGUUUUAAACUUCUUCUCUACAGCUGGACUGACAUGUAGAUAGGACUCAAAGCACAACACCCAACAGAUAUGCUGAGCUUCACUGCUUAGGGUCUCCCUGGGCACGAGGGGUUGGCACAGCACACUGAGUAAACUCACAAAGCAGCUGCUCUGCUCCCACCCCCCAUCCCCGUUAGACUUGCAUUGUGGCCUUUCCCUUCCCACCUGCCUGGUGCAGGAACUUUCUGGAAGGCAACCACUAGCUCUCACCCAUCCAGUGGAGCAAUGGGCUCUAGCCCGGCCUCUCUCAUGCCGCUAUGAGGGAGGUCCUAAUGACAUAUAAGAGAUACCUAGGACUGUUCGUUCCCCUAAUGGGGAGGUCUGCAGAGGGGAAGACAGCCUUCAUAGGAGGGUGCCAAUGCCUGCUGAGGACAAGCACCCUGCUGCCAGGAGACUUGGGUGGUUUGCAGAGCUUUCCAUUCCUGAGCCAUCUGUUGUGAGGAAUUCCCACAAGAGGUUUUUCAGGCUUGGUCCCACCUCUGCCCAACUCCUUCAAACAUCAUUUGUUCAAGAACUGAGAGUGUUCAGUGAAUAAAGUAAAAGCCAUAGAGAAAAGGGGGGGGUGGGGGGAUCAAGUUUUCGAUGGGUCAGUCCAGUUGCUUAGGCCAGCAUGGCCUCCUGUUGAAGAGUCCCUCCCACCGUCCUACAAGUGUUCCCCACCCUUGCUUUAAGCAGUAAUUGCACUGGUUUGGCACUGAGUUUUGUUUGAUUUGUGUGGCUAAAAGGUUUAGGGUGACUGCAUUUUGCCAAUCUCAGUCUAGUCUGGUCCGCUCCCCCUCCCAUGUGGACUGGAGAGAGGGACUCACCACAAGUUGAGCAUUUUCAGGCAGCUACAGAGUGUGUAGAGAGAAAAAACACAGAAAGGAAGAAAGAGCAAUUAGUUCACAGAGGUGGGAUGAAAGCAUGUCACUGAGCCAUGCAAGCAUGCAGUGCAGGUUGGCAGAUGCGCCAUGCCCACUCAUCCUCUCUAGCCUUUAUACCACCUAGGGGCCCCCAUAGCUGGGUUGCAGAAGAGGAUCACACUGGAUCCUGCCAGGUCAAUGCUGGGAGGGAGUACAUUUCUUCUGCUAUCCUGAGGCCUGGGGACAAGCCCACCAGGACAGAGGGAAUAAAGCAUCAGGGACUUCUGUAGCUGGAAAUAGGGAGGGUGCCUGGGCUAGUAGGAAGGUGACACCAGAGCUGGAAAAGGAUCCAAACCACAGUCUGAGGACAGUCAGACAAGAGGGCUGGAUGAGAGGUACAGUGUGUACAGGACUGUUCCCAUAGAACACUGCUCUUGAUCACAGCUGCUGAGGGUUUGUUCACUUACUACUUUGGCACAAACCACCAGCUCCCCUGCCUUGUCCACGGGUGCUGGGAAGAGAGACGUCCGCCGUCUUCCACACAAUGCAUCAUCUCAAAAAUCAGAGAGCCAUGCAACUUCGCUUAACCCUUACCCUCCCUGCCAACUACAAAGCAGUAGCAUCAGGCCAGCUGGGAGCAUACUUCAAGUCCAAAAGACCUCCAACCUCCUCACAUGCCCAGAUAACUGAGAGGUGGAUGACACAUUUGGACUUGUGACAACAAAUAAUAUUUGCCAGGAAAGAUAAUGAGAUACCUUAUGUAGCCUGACUCAGUAGGGUAACUGUUAGCAUAUCAGCACAAGGCACCAAACUGCAACAACCAUCCACCUUCCCCCACCAAAAAUACACAGCUCCAAAACAUACACUGGUUGGUACUGAAAGAAAGGAAGUAGGCACUUCACAUCUUCAUGGGGAUGUGGUAGGGCAGUGUUAUCCCUCCCAAAGAAACUGCCUGUGCCAACACAGAACAAAAGGAUUUUGUGCAACUGCUGAACCUCAGAGCCCUAGUCACAGAUCAGGACCACACUGCUCAGUGCUGUACUAAUGAAACAAAGGCAGUCCUGAAAGAGACAGCCAACUCCUCCUUAUGUCUGAUUGUUUGCCACAUCCAGGGGAAUAAGUUGCAGUCACUGUUCUUUAAUGGUGGUAGGACUCAGGUUACACAUGCUGGCAAGCAGCGCAGCAGUUGCUCCAAGACGGAAGAGUUUGCCGAGACAGUUUCAACAGAAAAUGCUGUCCACACGAAGGAAAUCUGGCCAACUCAUUAGGCUACACUUGAUUACUAUCCCCUUCCAGGAAAUCCCCAUCUUCCAUUGAAAAGAAAACAAAUUUGCUCCCAAGUCUCUUCCUCACAAUAUGACUGUGGCUCAAGGAUUGGACUGUUAAGUCACCUUAAGACCCAUCAACGAGCCAUAGUAGAGAUCAUCCCUUAAUUGAGGGAUUGCCAACAACUGUAGCUUACUAUCCACAGGGAUUCAUGGCAAGAUGGUCAAUGGACAACCAAGCCACUGUUCCUCAGGAGAGAAAGAUAGAAAAAGUUUCUCUGCUGGAGCCAACUUGACAGACAUCUACAGAAGCUGUCCUGACAUGGGAAAGUGCCAGGCCCACAUUCCUUCAAGCCUUCUCUAGCACUACAACUCUACCUCCCACCCCAACUGGUCAAACGUGAGGCCUGUCAAGCAACAAGUUCAUUGAGCCUUGCUGUAGCUUAGAUCACUGAGUAAUUUCCAAAUGCAGAAAAUGGAGGCAGCCUCAGAGCCCAUUCCUCCUGUGCUGGGGAAGUUGAUUUGUUAGGCAAUAACUACACAACCCAAGCAACCCACUAGGACUAAAAACAGACAGUACUCAUAGGCUGACCCUGGGCUUUGAUUUGCAUCAAAACAGGCCAUGGGGUAGUUGUUUAUAUAUGCAGUGUGAAAAGCAAUUAACUCCAAUUAGCUUCACACAGGGAGAGGGAGCGUUAGCUGGGUACUUCACAGCUACUUGGGGUUGGACAGUGGGCUUGUACACCUGUAGAAUUCCAGGAUAAAAGCCUUCAUCUCAGGAAAUUUGAAACCUGUUUUUAGCCUAGUAUUCAAAGCUCUUCUUGAUGCAGGAGAGAGACAGCAGGCCCCACAUUCCACCUGUUAAAGGGGGAUCAUGCAAAGUGUCCUCUUGUGGUGCUGGAUGGCAGCACACAUACAAAAGCAGCAGAAAUGGCCGACAGCGAUUGCCCUCAAUUUCAUCAGAAGCUCCAGAUGACACUUCCUGCUACCGCAACUGUCAGCUCAAAGUGAGAUCUCCAGUUCCCACAGGAAGAAGGGCUAUUUACAAUUUCUCCCUCAAUCAGCUCCUAAUGGACUAGGCUA
This is a long non-coding RNA of Alligator mississippiensis (American alligator), 6153 nucleotides long. RefSeq lists it as uncharacterized. The record is from RefSeq and is a predicted model, not a curated record. Lineage: Eukaryota; Metazoa; Chordata; Crocodylia; Alligatoridae. The transcript is spliced from 2 exons.